CGGGGCAUAGCGCAGCUUGGUAGCGCAUCCGCUUUGGGAGCGGAAGGUCGCAGGUUCAAAUCCUGUUGCCCCGA
This 74-nucleotide transfer RNA is filed under the name Propionibacteriaceae bacterium. RNAcentral's name for it is "tRNA-Pro". It matches the Rfam family "tRNA". Rfam says of the family: Transfer RNA (tRNA) molecules are approximately 80 nucleotides in length. The record is from RNAcentral. Lineage: Bacteria; Bacillati; Actinomycetota; Actinomycetes; Propionibacteriales; Propionibacteriaceae.